AACCUGAAUUUAAUCAUAUAAGUAAGUGGUGGAAAAUAAACCAAAUUGGAUUUCUUUAGUAAUUGCGAAUGAACAAGGAUAGGCUUAGCUUGACAAAUGGAGCUAUUAGCUUUGAAUUGUAUUGUGGAAAUGUAUUACCAACAGAGGUGCAGGUGCCAGCCUAUUGAAAGAAAGCGUCAAUGAGGGUGAUAAUCCUGUUUGUCAUGUGCAGCCCUCUGUGCACGGUGUAUAUUUGUUGAGUCACACUCCUUGGCAUUGGAAUGCAAAGUGGGUGGUAAGUUUCAUGUAAAGGUAAAUAUGCAAUUGAGACUGAUAGCACACAAGUACCAUGAGGGAAAUAUGAAAAGGACUUUGAAAAGAGAAUUAAAUGAGUUUGUAUUUGCUGAACAAAAAGUAAACAGACUUGAUUUCUUUGGUGAGGUUGUUGUGCUUGCCUGACAAUAAGUUUUGGUGGUGGGUACAAUGAUUCUUUCUUGGCAUGCCAGUUUCUAUUUGUACAUUUGAUUACCUUUGCAUAUGAAUGGGAAGUUUCUUGUGGGGGGGUUGAUUGCAUGUGCAUGUAAUGAUUUGUGUUUUGAUGUAUGAGUCUGGUGUUUCUGUUGGUGUUUCUGUGCUUGAGGUUGAUUCCUUCCUUGGACUGACAAGCCCUGACACCCACAUGCUGGCAAACUGCUUCUGCUUGACCCGUCUUGAAACACGGACCAA
This 705-nucleotide ribosomal RNA is filed under the name Alexandrium tamarense. Its description in RNAcentral is "eukaryotic LSU rRNA". It matches the Rfam family "Eukaryotic large subunit ribosomal RNA", at positions 23 to 669 of the family's 3401-position model. The record is from RNAcentral. Lineage: Eukaryota; Dinophyceae; Gonyaulacales; Pyrocystaceae.